AACGCACCUUGCACCCUUUGGUAUUCCGAAGGGUACACCCGUUUGAGUGUCAUUGUAAUCUCACUUCAACGACUUUAUUGUUGUUUGAAUGUGGACUUGGACGUCUGCCGUGUAACAAUGGCUCGUCUUAAAUGCCUGAGUGUACCCCGCUUUGCGGCGUAUUCGGUGUGAUAAACAUUUCACCGGAGUUUGGUCUUUAUUGACCGUGCUUUUAGCAAUUGGUGGGCUCUAUGCUUUCUAACCGUCUGCCUCUGUGGACAAUCUCUUGACAAUUUGACCUCAAAUCGGGUGGGACUACCCGCUGAACUUAA
Molecule: unclassified non-coding RNA, 311 nt
Filed under: uncultured Sebacinales
Lineage: Eukaryota; Fungi; Basidiomycota; Agaricomycetes; Sebacinales
Description: sequence contains ITS2
Source: RNAcentral